AGCCAGACUCCUACGGGAGGCAGCAGUGGGGAAUAUUGCACAAUGGGGGAAACCCUGAUGCAGCGACGCCGCGUGAGUGAAGAAGUAAUUCGUUAUGUAAAGCUCUAUCAGCAGGGAAGAAAAUGACGGUACCUGAGUAAGAAGCCCCGGCUAACUACGUGCCAGCAGCCGCGGUAAUACGUAGGGAGCAAGCGUUGUCCGGAAUUACUGGGUGUAAGGGGAGCGUAGGCGGGGAUGCAAGUUGGGUGUCAAAACUACCGGCUCAACCGAUAGUCGCACUCAAAACUGCAGCUCUUGAGUGAAGUAGAGGCAGGCGGAAUUCCUAGUGUAGCGGUGAAGUGCGUAGAUAUUAGGAGGAACACCAGUGGCGAAGGCGGCUUACUGGACUGUAAAUGACGCUGAGGCUCGAAAGCGUGGGGAGCAAACAGGAUUAGAUACCCUAGUA
This 445-nucleotide ribosomal RNA is filed under the name uncultured bacterium. Its description in RNAcentral is "partial 16S ribosomal RNA". It matches the Rfam family "Bacterial small subunit ribosomal RNA", at positions 329 to 792 of the family's 1533-position model. The record is from RNAcentral.